Chinchilla lanigera (long-tailed chinchilla) is the source of this 3885-nucleotide long non-coding RNA. Lineage: Eukaryota; Metazoa; Chordata; Mammalia; Rodentia; Chinchillidae. The record is from Ensembl.
UUUGUGUGUGAUCCUGGUAACACACAUGACAGGGCUACAUCUCCAGAGGAAAUGAGCUCAUAUUGGGAAGCCUGGCCUGGCUCCUAGGCUCAAAACAGACCGGGUCACUGGUGACAUCACAGAGCAAAGCCAGGAACCUAGUAACUGUGGCAGCCCAGGGGCCACUCGGGCCAGGACCAGCUGGAGGGCUCAGCACUGCCCAAGCCAACUCACAGCAGUGGCACAGAGCACCAGGUGUGGUUUCAAAUCAUGAGACGCCACUUCAAGGACCUUCGGGGAGAAGAUUCCACAACUGAUGGGACCACCCUCAGUGUGACCAGCCCCGAGUCCACAGAGGGCAGUCUGGAAAUGUUCUGGCCAGAAACCACAGAGGGGCCAGCGCUGGCCCGCGCAGACAACCUCUCCCCGAGGACGCGGUGGCGCAUCACGCUGGGCUGGAGCCCCUCCUCACCCUCAUCCGUGUCCUCAUCCUCCUACCGCUCCUACUCCCCGCGGCCUCCUUGCGGCCUGUGUGCUCAGGGGGACCCGGACCCUGGCCCACGAAGCGUGCCCGCGCUGUAUACCCGCGUGCAGACCGUGCGCGGCGUGGCUGUGGCCUGGGAGACCGAGGCGGGCUUCGCGCCCAUCAGCAGCCAGCCGCGCGUCCGAGAGGCCCAGUUCCUCGGGCGGCAGCGGCGGUGGGGCUCUUCCUUUGAGGUGGCCUCCAACACCGACCUGCGCGCGGACCUAGAGGCUUGCGGUGACGAGCAUGAAGGGGAGCCCGAGGACGACGCGGGACGCGAAGACGCGGAGCUGGAGCAGGAGCUGCGCGAGCCGCCGGACUCACUGGUCACCACCAGACACGGGCUGCGUUGUGUUGCCUGUUGCCGCGUCUUCCCCUCGCUGCCUGCGCUACUGGAGCACGCACAGCACGGCGUCCAUGAGGGCUUCAGCUGCCAGAUCUUUUUCGAGGAGAUGCUGGAGAGGCGGCGCGCGCAGGGCCGAGCGCAGGACCCCGAGCUUGAGGGCCAGGAGCCUAGCCCGGAGGUGGGAGGCGAGCAACGUGCCUGGCCUCUCGGCGAGGACCCUCGGUCACGCCAACAGCAGCAGUGAAGUACAGGGCAGGCGCCCCUGACCCUCUGUCCAGCUCCCAGGCCGGCCCCCCUUCCAGCCACCAGGAUCAGAGCCAGGGCGCAGGGGUAUGGAGCCCCUCCCAGGGCGCAGCGUUUCAAAACCCCCUGGGCAAAGAAGAGAGCUUGGGAGUGUUUCCGAUGGUGCAGGAUCUGAAGGCCGCGCAAGCCGCAGGGACUCCGAUUUUGCAGGGGGCUCUACAGGGUCCUUGCUUGCUGUACAAGAUGUGGAUCCCAGGCGAGCCCACUGCAAAUGAAGAUUCAGCUCUAUUUUUACAUUGUUAGGAAUCCGUCCUUUGCCUGAGUUCUAUUCUUAUGUUAUUGGGAUUAAACUUGAAUAACUCAUAGUGGAAGGCAGUGACUCUUUGAACCAUGCCAUCAGGUGGCAUCCGUUCUGUAGGUGACAAAGUGGCACAGAUGAUGGGAGGAAGGCAGCUCCACAGGGUGGAGAUGGGGCUAGGGAAGUCCUGAUCUGAGUUCCUGCGUGUCAUCUAUAGGUCUGUUAAACGUUGCCAUGAAGUUUGCCUGCACCCUCCUGCCAGGGGCAUUCCUUCAAGAAAAGACGUCAGUCUUGGCUCACUGUGUUAGGUACACCUGCCAAUGGCUGGGAGAAACCUUUAUUACAAAUGCUAGUGCCCAGAGAACUCUCAAAUUUUUUGAGACAUUGAAAUAUUUGCAUACAAGUAAUCAGAUAUUCAGGGAUGGGGGGCCCACAGCUAAACGUAAAAUUCAUUUGUGCUUCAUAUGCAUCUUUACAUAGUUUCCUGAUGGUAAUUUUAUUUUUAGUGUACCUGUGUUUUGCCUCUGACUGCACAAAGGAUUUUGGAAUAUUUUGGAUUUUUGGAUUACCCUGUACACCAAACUCCAUUAUUCCAGGGAAAGAAAGAACAGACACCAGGUCAGGGGUGGACCACAUUGAGGAGAAUGAGGGCACCCAGAAGUGGUCCCCACACACAGGCUGUUGGAUCCCAAUGAAAAACUUCCCAAAAGCAAUGGUGAUGGGGCUUGGAGGAGCAGUGAAUCAUGGAAGAGACUUUCUCAGGGACAGCAUUGCAGAUAUCACAGGUGAAUAGUUCUGUUUUGGGAAAUGCCCUCCACCCACCAGGUGCCACCAUUAGCGUUCCCUCCCCUUGCAGUUGUGACCAUUAGAAAUGUUUCCUGGGGACAAAGUUGUCCCUAGGUGAGAACCAAUGGGCUAGACAAAUAUGGGACCUUAGAAGAGGGAAUGACACAGGAUAUUUAGGGACUUGCUAGUCACUUGAUCUGGCUGCAGUGCUGGAGGUGUUUAUCUCUCCAAGCACUCUGUAAAAAUUUAGCACCUACCUGUGUCAGGCACUGCACUGGGGAUAAAGUGUGAACAAAGAAUGGAAAGCUGAUGUGGAUGGUGCUCUGUGAGCUUGGGUACCUUUUUUUUAAAAACUACCAACAGCCUUUUUUACUGUUUCUGUUGCCAUCUCUCAGUGUCCUCUGUUUCCACUCCAUGCUCUCCCUCCGCUAAGUGGAACACAACCCUCUAUCUUCCUUUGGCUGAUCCUGUGCUCACCUGGUGUUUCAGUCUUUGUGUCACUUUUCCAACGGGGCCUUCUUCCUCAGGCUGCCUUAGUGUAGUAUGCACAGCUAUCACUGAGAAGUGACAAGAUCAGGUUGACACCACAGAAAGGAGAAGUGGAGAGAUCACUAGGAGUCUCCUGCAGAAGUCCAGGCCAGGAAAGGUGGUAGCACUGACAAGGUAGUAGUAGAUCAAAAAGGGCUUUGGACCUUGAAACCCACUCCCCAUGACAAAGAGCUCUUGAGAGAUGUUAAGCAAGCUGGAUUUGCAUUUGUGAAAGAUCACCCUUUCACAGUAAAGGAUAGGUCAGAGCCAGCACUGCUGUGAACAAGGUAAAAGAGCUGGUGGCAGGAGGAAUGUGAGGGAUACUUGAGCAUAGCUAAUGUUUGAUGAAGUUGGUGAGAGUACGCUGUCCAGAAUUACUGUCAGCUAUUUGCGGGUGAGUGGUGUAUGUUGGUGCCAUUUGCAAAUAAAACAAUGGGAAAGAGAGAACAAGAGGGGAGAAGGAGAAAUGAGAAGGAGGAGGAGCAAACACUGGCUGGGAUGCUGAUUUGGAACAAGCUGAUUUUGAGACAGCAACAUCUGGAAGGAGGCUGGUUUUUGGUAACGAGGAUGGAGACAGAUUAGCUGAGGCUCAUGAGCCUUGUCUUGGUCGCAUUCCCCCUGCUGGUCCAGGGCAGCAGGAACCUGUGAGUCAGCUCAGAAUGGGCAUCAGCUGCAAGGAUGACAUCAGUCUUGUGAAGGUGUAGCUGAGGCCAGAGGCUUCUUCAACUUGCUGUGGGCUGGAAGAUUUAGAGGAGAGAAAAAGGAGCCUGACUGCGUCAAACUUUUCUUUGAAGAGAUUCAGGGUAUUGAAGGGGCUCAGUAGGUGGGAUGAAUCCAGGGACAAUCUAAGGGACAGGCAGGCUGCUGAGCCAAAAAAGUACUAAUGAGGGGAAUAUUUAAAUGUUGAUCAAAAUAUUGAACACUGAUGAAAAAAAUCAAUGGGUGAGAAAACUUACCAUAGUAGCAUAGUACUAAGGUUUGGAAUUUCAACCUUUAAAAGACAUAUUUAUAUGCUAAAUUCUGAUAUCCUAUGGGUUAGGCAUUGUCUUAAACAAUUUUUAAAUUAAAUCACAUGUGUGCUCUACAAUCCCAUGAGCUGUCACUUCUGUUAUUAUCCCUAUUUUAUCAGUGAGUGUGCCGAUACCUGGCAAGGUCCGAUGGCUUGUGUAGGGCAGAAUCAGG